GGGAGAACAACAAUUUUCAUAGAUUGCACCCUGUGCAACAUAACACACUCAAGCCUCCAUUUAUCAGUUUAUGUGAUGCGAUAUACCCUGCAAUAAUGUCUUUAUUAUCAAUUCCAAAACAAAACAUUUAUUUCAUUCCACCGUGUACUCAAUAAUUCAGUAUCGUUGUUGCAGUGUCAAAAAUCAAUAAUUCAAUCAUUUAUUUAAUAAGUUUCCAAAAAUGUACGAAAGGGAAAAAUAAAUUAAAA
Molecule: unclassified non-coding RNA, 248 nt
Filed under: Hevea brasiliensis (rubber tree)
Lineage: Eukaryota; Viridiplantae; Streptophyta; Magnoliopsida; Malpighiales; Euphorbiaceae
Source: RNAcentral